GCAUGCUAUCCCUAUCUGCGCAAUAUAAUAUCCAAAAGCUUCUGUACCCUUUUGAGUUUUCAACUUUACUGUUAAUCUUCCAUUCAUUCUUGCCAGAGAAAUAGAAGUUUACAGUUCAUUCUUCAUCGUCUCUACUCUGAACCAUCCAAUUCAAGUAUGGCGAAAUUGGGAAAAAUAAUUGACAUGGGGGAACAGCUAUGCUAUUGCAAUAGCCUUGAUGAAAAGAUGCAAAAACUAAAAAGGAAAUUGGAAGAUCUGAGCAGCAGGGAAGCUGACAUAAAUAAAGAACUAGAAUAUGCAGAGUCACUAUAUUUAAAGAAACGAAGGCGGCAAGUUGAAAAUUGGUUGACAAAUGUAGAGAGAAUAAGCAGGCAAGUUCAUAGCCUGGAGCAAACACUGGAAGAAAGGAGAUUGCUUGGGUGUGUACAGUUGUGGAAACGAGUGGAAGAGCUGACUGGAGAAGUGACACAACUUGUGGAUCAAGGAAGAUUUCCUGGAGGGCUCACCUUUGAAGCACAUGAGACCAAAGGAGAUGCAUUGUUGACAACAAAAUUGGUGGGUCAAACAUUUCAAACAAAUAUGGAUAAGAUUUGGACAUGUCUAAUGCAGGAUGAGGUCUUAAUCAUUGGCAUUUAUGGAAUGGGGGGAGUGGGGAAAACAACCUUGGUGACUCAUAUCCAUAACAAACUUAUAGAAAAUCCAAACACUUUCGAUCAUGUUUUUUGGAUCACAGUAUCACAAGAUUUUAGCAUUCAUAAAUUGCAAAAUGAUAUUGCAAAAAUACUGAAUCUAGACCUUUCGAACAUGGAUGAUGAAAAGAAAAGGGCAGCAAAAUUGGCCCAGGCUUUGAUGAGAAGACAACAAUCUGUGCUCAUUUUAGAUGAUGUUUGGAAUCAUUUUGUUUUAGAGAAGGUGAGAAUUCCUGUCAGAGUCAAUGGGUGCAAAUUGAUUUUAACCACGAGAUCAUUAGAUGUGUGUCGAAGGAUGGGUUGCCAAGUGAAAAUCAAAGUGGAGCCCCUUUCAAAGGAAGAAGCUUGGAGCUUAUUUUUGGAGAAAGUUGGAAAUGAAAUUUCACUUCCUCCUGAAGUAAAAGAUAUUGCAAGGUCUGUUGCAAAAGAAUGUGCAGGUCUGCCACUUGCCAUAACCGUACUGGCUGGAAGCAUGAGAGGAGUGGAUGACAUCUGUGAAUGGAGGAAUGCAUUGGAGAUUUUGAAAGAAUCAAAACUGGGACAAGAUGACAUGGAAACUGAGGUUUUUCAAGUACUGAGAUUUAGCUAUUGGAGCUUGAAUGAUUCAAAAGUGCAACAUUGUUUUCUAUACUGCUCACUAUAUCCUGAAGAUUAUAAAAUUAAAAGAGAGGAGUUGAUAGAAAGGUUUAUUGAUGAAGGUUUCAUUGACAGAAUGAAGAGCAGGCAGGUAGAGUUUGACAGGGGUCACACUAUUCUGAAUAAACUUGAAAAUUCUUGCUUAUUGGAGGGCAUUAUAGAAGAUUUCCCCAAUGAGAAAAAGUGCGUCAAGAUGCAUGAUUUAGUUAGGGACAUGGCACUCCAAAUUGUGAUUGUGAGUCCUCGAUUCAUGGUAGAAGCUGGCAUUGGGUUGGAGAAUAUACCAGAUGAAGAAAAAUGGACAAAGGAUCUAGAGAAGGUUUCUUUGAUGCACAACAAAAUAUCUGUAAUUCCUUCUAGUUUAUCACCAAGGUGUCCUAAACUUUCAACGUUGAUGCUUCAACAUAAUAGUCUAAGAAGAAUACCAGAUUCUUUUUUUGUGCAUAUGCAUGGGCUCAAGGUUCUCGAUCUAUCAUAUAAUGGCAUUGAAUAUUUGCCAAAUUCACUCUCCCACUUGGAGAAUCUUACAUCGCUGCUGCUUAGAGAAUGUGAUAAAAUAGAACAUGUCCCUUCGUUAGCAAAGCUUUCUGCUUUGAAGAGGUUGGAUCUUUGGCAUACAGGAAUUAGUGAAGUACCUAAUGGUAUGGAAAUGUUGGUCAACCUCAGAUACUUGGAUCUCUAUGAAAGUAAAGAUGCUAGGAUCACAUCAACUUGGGUCUCACUAUCAAUUUCUGCACCAAGCAUAUCCAGUUCAUUGAUGAAAGAAAUCAUCUUCAGGACAUGUUCCCGAACUGGAGUUCCUUCCACCAUUUUGGUGGACAUGAGAUUUUUCAUAGCAGUUUGCCGUGCACUUCUGCUUUGUUCUCCAAACAUCUCUUUGAGGUGCAACAUCAUAUCUUGUGCUAUGUUACCUGUUGGGACUUUCACUAAACUCUCUCAUCUCCAAUAUCUUGUUGUUUACCGAUCAUCUGAAACAUUAAAAGUGAAUGGAGAGGAGGAAGCAUACUUGAAAAGAUUGGAAACUUUUAGCGGACAAUUCAGUGAACUCCAAAACUUUAACGUAUAUGUCAAAUCCUUAAAAGUGGGAGGACCUAGCAAUUACCUACUUCAAAUGGGAUUAGAUGACCCAGAUGUCACACCAAUUGAAAGUGACACCUUUGACAAAUGUGUAAUCUUAAAAAGGUGCAGUUUAAGUACAAGUAGAGGUGGAGGAGAAGAUCCCCUUUUGCUCCCAGAAGAUAUUGAGUUCCUAUAUAUUCAAGAGUGCAAUGAUGUAAGAAGUUUAUGUGGUAUUUCAUCAUUGAAAAAUGCCAAUAACUUGAAGGCCUGUGUAAUUAGGAAGUGCAAUAGAGUAGAGCAUGUGCUGUCUCAUUAUUCAUCCCCCUCUUCCAUUCUCACUCUCCAAAGCCUUGAGUCACUACGGCUUGCAUUUUUGCAAAACUUAAGUGACUUUAUUAGGUGUGACACAGCUUUAUCACAAUCUCCACCAUCAGGCACCUUAGCCUGUCUCAAAGAAUUUAGAAUAUAUAACUGUCCAAAUAUAAAGAAGUUAUUCAUGCCUAGGUUGUUGAUGUGCCUCCAAAACUUGGAAGAGAUUCACGUAGAAGAUUGUCGCCAAAUUGAAGAAAUAGUGGCUGCAGCAUCUGAUGAAAAUGAAGUAGAAGAAAAUAAGGACAAAGGGCUUGGCACUACCAUAUUCACUCUCCCUAAAUUAAGGUGUUUGCAAUUGUGGGAUCUGCCUCAAUUGAAGAUCAUCUGCAAUGAUAAUGCAGUACUAGUUUGUGAUUCCCUCCAGAAAUAAUAGUACGUUAUUGCCGGAAGCUUAAGCGGAUCCCUCUCUCACUGCCCCUGCUUGAUGGUCAACCAUCCCCACAUCCCUCUCUUCAAAUAAUAAAAGCAUUUCCAGAACAAUGGUGGGAAUCACUGGAGUGGGACCAUCCCAAUGCCAAGAAUUUACUUCAACCCUUUUGUCAAUUCACACGAUAUGUAUAACAUCCCCAUGUUGAUAAUUUCUUUCUUUCCAUCACACUUUUAUUUGUAAUUUAAGAAAAUUUUCCCCUUAAGAAUUUUAGACCAACUUGGACAUGUGUUCAAAUUGUUUACUUUGCAUUGAGAGUCCUUUUUCUAAUUAUAGCCCCUUCAGGUUAC
Molecule: RNA transcript, 3473 nt
Organism: Quercus lobata
Lineage: Eukaryota; Viridiplantae; Streptophyta; Magnoliopsida; Fagales; Fagaceae
Gene name: disease resistance protein SUMM2-like
Exons: 4
Source: RefSeq, a predicted model, not a curated record